This 312-nucleotide long non-coding RNA is filed under the name Ananas comosus (pineapple). RNAcentral describes it as "long non-coding RNA (ACOM_LNC008955)". The record is from RNAcentral. Lineage: Eukaryota; Viridiplantae; Streptophyta; Magnoliopsida; Poales; Bromeliaceae.
AGUAUAGAUGAAUGGACGAUAAGUAAAAGCAACCGACAUGUAGAGAGUACGAUAUUGAUAUAUAGAAGAAUAGAGGAAAGUGAAACGAUCUCAUUGACUACCAGCUCGAAGAACCCAUCUGUCACUAUUGCGUCGGGAACCUGGGUGCGCAACAAGUCAACCGGACCUACAAAGAUCCACCGGGUCAGUAACCAACCCACCAAUCCAAAAUACACGAUUCACGAACCCCACACAAAUCCCCGAAAUCGAUUUUCCAAAAUCGAUCACCGUAACUCGCCGAAAGUCCUGAAAAUCACACGGGGACUCCGUCGG